RNAcentral lists this ribosomal RNA (253 nucleotides) under uncultured bacterium. RNAcentral's name for it is "partial 16S ribosomal RNA". It matches the Rfam family "Bacterial small subunit ribosomal RNA", at positions 524 to 776 of the family's 1533-position model. The record is from RNAcentral.
UACGUAGGGUGCGAGCGUUGUCCGGAAUUAUUGGGCGUAAAGGGCUCGUAGGCGGUCUGUCGCGUCAGGAGUGAAAACUCGGGGCUUAACCCCGAGCCUGCUUCUGAUACGGGCAGACUAGAGGUAUGCAGGGGAGAACGGAAUUCCUGGUGUAGCGGUGAGAUGCGCAGAUAUCAGGAGGAACACCGGUGGCGAAGGCGGUUCUCUGGGCAUUACCUGACGCUGAGGAGCGAAAGUGUGGGGAGCGAACAGG